RNAcentral lists this long non-coding RNA (485 nucleotides) under Physcomitrium patens. RNAcentral describes it as "long non-coding RNA (PPAT_LNC012415)". Lineage: Eukaryota; Viridiplantae; Streptophyta; Bryopsida; Funariales; Funariaceae. The record is from RNAcentral.
UUUUUUUUUUUUUUUUUUUUCCUUUUCUAGACAGAGUUUUAAAAAUGGUAUUCUGUCAAGUUACCGUAUGCAAUGUUUACGUGCUUUGUUCAUUUGUUUUCAUUCGAAACUUCCACAUGAUUAUUUUCGACAUUGUUUUACUUGCCAGCUAACCAUCCAGUCGGUUAAUAAACGAUAGGCAACAAGGUUUCAAGCUCUUCAAUUGCCUGGUCCAUUUGUUCACUCAUGUCAGGGAAGUAGUAGUAGUAGUAGAAGGAACAUAGUUAAGAAAAAUGAGUUAUUCACUUGCAAACACAGACAGUGGCAGACAUAGCUGGAUUAAGACUUGCCCCUCAGAGAGAGUGAUCACUGAACCGAAUUACAGAGACGGGUUUCAACACAGAAACAGGUCCUGGUUAAGAAAUCUAGGAAGACCUUAAGAUCCAGCAAGAGAUAUCUGCAAAGAACCGACGGUCAAAGCUGCAUCGGCAAUAGCGAAACAGGUU